This 445-nucleotide ribosomal RNA is filed under the name uncultured bacterium. RNAcentral's name for it is "bacterial SSU rRNA". It matches the Rfam family "Bacterial small subunit ribosomal RNA", at positions 335 to 798 of the family's 1533-position model. The record is from RNAcentral.
ACUCCUACGGGAGGCAGCAGUUAGGAAUAUUCGGCAAUGGGGGAAACCCUGACCGAGCGACACUGCGUGAAGGAGGAAGGCCUUAGGGUUGUAAACUUCUGAACGAGAGACGAUAAUGACGGUAUCUCGGUAAUAGCACCGGCUAACUCCGUGCCAGCAGCCGCGGUAAUACGGAGGGUGCGAGCGUUAUCCGGAAUCACUGGGCGUAAAGGGCGCGUAGGCGGUUACAUAAGUCCGAUGUUAAAGCGUAGGGCUCAACCCUAUAAAGGCGUUGGAUACUGUGUAACUAGAGACAGAUAGAGGUGCGCGGAAUGCGUCAUGUAGCGGUGAAAUGCAUAGAUAUGACGUAGAACGCCGAUUGUGAAGACAGCGCACUAGGUCUGGUCUGACGCUGAGGUACGAAAGCGUGGGGAGCGAACAGGAUUAGAUACCCUGGUAGGUCAGU